Molecule: transfer RNA, 65 nt
Filed under: Nodularia douglasiae
Lineage: Eukaryota; Metazoa; Mollusca; Bivalvia; Unionida; Unionidae
Description: tRNA-Phe
Source: RNAcentral
GAAAGAAGUAGCUUAACGAAAGCGUAACACUGAAAAUGUUAAAAUAGCCUUAAAACUCUCUCUCA